AGACCCGAAACCCGGUGAUCUAGCCAUGGGCAGGUUGAAGGUUGGGUAACACUAACUGGAGGACCGAACCGACUAAUGUUGAAAAAUUAGCGGAUGACUUGUGGCUGGGGGUGAAAGGCCAAUCAAACCGGGAGAUAGCUGGUUCUCCCCGAAAGCUAUUUAGGUAGCGCCUCGUGAAUUCAUCUCCGGGGGUAGAGCACUGUUUCGGCAAGGGGGUCAUCCCGACUUACCAACCCGAUGCAAACUGCGAAUACCGGAGAAUGUUAUCACGGGAGACACACGGCGGGUGCUAACGUCCGUCGUGAAGAGGGAAACAACCCAGACCGCCAGCUAAGGUCCCAAAGUCAUGGUUAAGUGGGAAACGAUGUGGGAAGGCCCAGACAGCCAGGAUGUUGGCUUAGAAGCAGCCAUCAUUUAAAGAAAGCGUAAUAGCUCACUGGUCGAGUCGGCCUGCGCGGAAGAUGUAACGGGGCUAAACCAUGCACCGAAGCUGCGGCAGCGACACUGUGUGUUGUUGGGUAGGGGAGCGUUCUGUAAGCCUGUGAAGGUGUACUGUGAGGUAUGCUGGAGGUAUCAGAAGUGCGAAUGCUGACAUAAGUAACGAUAAAGCGGGUGAAAAGCCCGCUCGCCGGAAGACCAAGGGUUCCUGUCCAACGUUAAUCGGGGCAGGGUGAGUCGACCCCUAAGGCGAGGCCGAAAGGCGUAGUCGAUGGGAAACAGGUUAAUAUUCCUGUACUUGGUGUUACUGCGAAGGGGGGACGGAGAAGGCUAUGUUGGCCGGGCGACGGUUGUCCCGGUUUAAGCGUGUAGGCUGGUUUUCCAGGCAAAUCCGGAAAAUCAAGGCUGAGGCGUGAUGACGAGGCACUACGGUGCUGAAGCAACAAAUGCCCUGCUUCCAGGAAAAGCCUCUAAGCAUCAGGUAACAUCAAAUCGUACCCCAAACCGACACAGGUGGUCAGGUAGAGAAUACCAAGGCGCUUGAGAGAACUCGGGUGAAGGAACUAGGCAAAAUGGUGCCGUAACUUCGGGAGAAGGCACGCUGAUAUGUAGGUGAAGUCCCUCGCGGAUGGAGCUGAAAUCAGUCGAAGAUACCAGCUGGCUGCAACUGUUUAUUAAAAACACAGCACUGUGCAAACACGAAAGUGGACGUAUACGGUGUGACGCCUGCCCGGUGCCGGAAGGUUAAUUGAUGGGGUCAGCGCAAGCGAAGCUCUUGAUCGAAGCCCCGGUAAACGGCGGCCGUAACUAUAACGGUCCUAAGGUAGCGAAAUUCCUUGUCGGGUAAGUUCCGACCUGCACGAAUGGCGUAAUGAUGGCCAGGCUGUCUCCACCCGAGACUCAGUGAAAUUGAACUCGCUGUGAAGAUGCAGUGUACCCGCGGCAAGACGGAAAGACCCCGUGAACCUUUACUAUAGCUUGACACUGAACAUUGAGCCUUGAUGUGUAGGAUAGGUGGGAGGCUUUGAAGUGUGGACGCCAGUCUGCAUGGAGCCGACCUUGAAAUACCACCCUUUAAUGUUUGAUGUUCUAACGUGGACCCGUGAUCCGGGUUGCGGACAGUGUCUGGUGGGUAGUUUGACUGGGGCGGUCUCCUCCUAAAGAGUAACGGAGGAGCACGAAGGUUGGCUAAUCCUGGUCGGACAUCAGGAGGUUAGUGCAAUGGCAUAAGCCAGCUUGACUGCGAGCGUGACGGCGCGAGCAGGUGCGAAAGCAGGUCAUAGUGAUCCGGUGGUUCUGAAUGGAAGGGCCAUCGCUCAACGGAUAAAAGGUACUCCGGGGAUAACAGGCUGAUACCGCCCAAGAGUUCAUAUCGACGGCGGUGUUUGGCACCUCGAUGUCGGCUCAUCACAUCCUGGGGCUGAAGUAGGUCCCAAGGGUAUGGCUGUUCGCCAUUUAAAGUGGUACGCGAGCUGGGUUUAGAACGUCGUGAGACAGUUCGGUCCCUAUCUGCCGUGGGCGCUGGAGAACUGAGGGGGGCUGCUCCUAGUACGAGAGGACCGGAGUGGACGCAUCACUGGUGUUCGGGUUGUCAUGCCAAUGGCACUGCCCGGUAGCUAAAUGCGGAAGAGAUAAGUGCUGAAAGCAUCUAAGCACGAAACUUGCCCCGAGAUGAGUUCUCCCUGACCCUUUAAGGGUCC
This 2138-nucleotide ribosomal RNA is filed under the name Escherichia coli. Its description in RNAcentral is "partial 23S ribosomal RNA". It matches the Rfam family "Bacterial large subunit ribosomal RNA", at positions 711 to 2828 of the family's 2925-position model. Lineage: Bacteria; Pseudomonadati; Pseudomonadota; Gammaproteobacteria; Enterobacterales; Enterobacteriaceae. The record is from RNAcentral.